AUCACAGUAACAGCAGUAUGAUGCAUGACAGAAUGAGAGUCAUCAUCUUAAUAAUAACCCUCAACACUCUGCUGUUUUCAGGUUCUUCUCUCAGUAAUCAAGUCCGCCAGACUCCACUUUACAUUCAAGCAAAUCCAGGAAACUCAGCCGUUAUCAACUGCUCUCACAGCAUUCAGAACUACAACGUUAUGCUUUGGUACAAGAGAUCAGAGGACAGGCAGCUCCAGCUCCUAGGUUAUAAGUUCCCUGGGAGCAGUUCUAUUGAACCUGGAGUGAAAGUGGAGAUUGGAGGGAAUGCAGAUAAAGACCAGAACUGCACUCUGACAAUAAAAAAGCUCAAUGUGAGCAGCAGUGCUGUUUACUUCUGUGCUGCUAGUUUCCACAGUGAUGCAUAUCAAUGCUCCUCGGCUGACAGGAAAGGGGGUAUACGAGAGGUGGAGAGACAUGCGGCAAAGGACCACAGGUCAGAUUCAAACUCGGGUCAGCCACGUCGAGGACUAAGGCCUCCGUCCAUGGGUCGUGCGAGCUUACCACUGCGCCACCUGCACACCCUGGUCAGUGUAGCCAUGUGA
This is a non-coding RNA of Cyprinodon tularosa, 572 nucleotides long. Lineage: Eukaryota; Metazoa; Chordata; Actinopteri; Cyprinodontiformes; Cyprinodontidae. The record is from the annotation of a RefSeq genome assembly.